Molecule: non-coding RNA, 4044 nt
Organism: Xyrichtys novacula (pearly razorfish)
Lineage: Eukaryota; Metazoa; Chordata; Actinopteri; Labriformes; Labridae
Source: the annotation of a GenBank genome assembly
GGGAGAUGUUGGCUCUGAUUGACCACGAGAGUUUCCUCACAAACGCCAACAGGAACAGUGGGAAGCCGUCUGCAGGUCACGGUAUGUUGGAGUAAAUGACAAGAUUCAAUCACACAAAUCGUUUUUUAUUCAUGGAAAACGGCUCAUGGGUGUAUAAUUAAAGCACCACAAGUCAAAACUUUCUCUAACGUUUAGCUGGAGGUUGAAAUGAAUCCGUGUUUACCUUUCAGCUCAAAAUAAAACCGUUUUCCAAACACGGGAGUUUGGAAGUUUGCUGUUCCUGUGAGAGCAGAAAACUAUCAAACUUUAUUUUCACAUUAAGUUUUUCUGGUAAGUUAAAGGUUUCUUGUUGCUAUCAUUUACACUCCUCUGUUUGUACCCCUUUUAGCUGUUUGCUGACACACAACUUUAACAUCUACUCUGACACUGUUGUGAGCCAUGGUUGCUGGCCCUGUGCUGUGUGUGUGCGUGUGCCAUGAAAGCUAAGCUAUCCUCUGCUUGCUAUUCACAGAUGUGGACCAUCAUCAAAGUGCACCUCUCCCCUUGAUGCAGCCAUCUACAGUAGACACCACCCUUCAGAAGUCAGGAGAUCUGUGUUUGCUCCAGGGAUUACAUUAGCACACCAGAGGCCCAGAGGAUAGACACACCGCACCACCACCCAAGGUACAGCCUCCCCCUGCUAAAGGGUGCUAUGUGCAGGUCAGUAUAGAUGCCUGGACUUCAUGGUGUGCCUCUCUUUUUUGGUAGUGUUCGUCCCUCUCUGGAGUGUGUUGACUCAGAUGGGACGAGCAAACAGAACCAGGGUGAAGCCAUGUGGGUGCUCCUUUCUCAUGGAGCCCUGGCCCAGUGGAUUAGGCAAAUGCCUGCACAUGAGGAGGGGGUGUUUCUGUGCGGCCUUCUCUGACAGGAGGUGAUGGAUUAGGGCUUUGUCAGGGUCCAUGUCAGCCUGAGGGACCGGGCGAUGAAGAGAAGGUGGGAGGCAGAGGGGAGAUCAGGGCCCAGGGGCAGCCCAAUCCCGGGAUCAGCUACAUGUUGACAAGGGAUUAUCCUGUUUGGUGUGUUGCUUCAGGAUCUGAGGUCUCAUAGAUGAACAGCGAGAUGGAUAGCAAGUGUUUGAGGGCUAGACAAUUAUGUGCAUAGUUCACAGACUUUAACAUGAUGAUUGAAUGGCAUAGGUGGUUCCUGUAACAGGUGAAAUGGUACCAGAUCUGAUUCUACCUCUGUUGUGAAUGUUACCUACGUAUGUAAAAACUCUGGAAAUCUGCUCAGAUUUGUAGAUGUGCACUACAUGGAGAAAAGAAAAACCUGUUUGCUUUCUGUUCCGCCUUUUGAGAUAAGAAAUCAGUCAAAAUCUGCUGCAAUUAGCAGGAACUAGUAGCACCAGUAGGAAAGAAAUCCUAAUUCAUUUUGGUUUCAUUGGCCCAGAAUUGAGGACCGCUGAUUUUACAACAGCCAUAAAUCCCCACACAUGAACACAGAUUGAGUUACAGUAAGCGUUGGCAAUAGCUCCCCCCUCGUUUGGAAAUGGCGGUGGCAUGAUAUCUCAGCCACGUUUGCCUCUUGUGUGGAAAUGUGAAAACCAGAUUGAGCCUUUUUAUGGGUUCCCUUUGAAAUCCGGCACACUUGACCCUCCCUCGGCUGUGAUUUUACUGCACGCUCUGGUUUAUUUCUGGAAACCUCCUACCCUCCUCAGCUUGUUUAAGACGCCUGCCUAAGUGUGCCUUUUGUUUACUUUGCCAGUUGGGACAAACAGUAAAGUGAAGUGAUUAAGCAUUUGCAUGAGGUCUUCCACAACCCAUGAAACCACAUGGAACAUUUUUGGGGAGGCUUGUCAGUCAGCGGUGGUUGGCGCUGGUGAAUAGUGCAAUCUUUAAGGGGUUUCAAUUACUAAUACUUGGCUUUAUAAUCCACUGGCAUUGCCAACACAUUUGGACUUUGUUUGAAUUUAGCAAAUGUGAAAAAUUAGAUCUGCUUAGCCGUGUAACAAUAUAUGAAAUGCAACAAAAUGCUACUCUAAAGAGGUCAGAUCAGAUAUUUGUGGUGGAACAGCAGAAGUUAAGCCAUUUGUCAACCCCUUAGAAAAUAGAUAAAGUAACGAGGCCACAUUGUACAUCUGAAACACAAAUGAUCAGUUUUCCAUAUUCACAUGAUGAAAAUGUGGGAGGGGGAGGAGGACAAAGGGGGAGAUAAAAGGGGGGAGAGUGGGAUGUGCGUGCGAGAGCUGGUGACUGACAUGUGGCAAAGGAGGCUCUGAUCCGUCUCUUGACGAACUUGUCGCCUCACCACGCUCCGUGUGUCAGGGCCUGGCACUCUCCCCUGUGUCAGGCGUGGGUGGCCUCCUGACGAGCGUUUGAAUGUGUGUGUCAUGUCCGUCUGGGCUGAAACCGCUCCUGAACACACACCCACGUAAUGACACUGACACAGUGCCAUCAGGCCUGCCAUCCAGCCCAGACAGACAGAGUCCAUGGCAAAACACAACCUUUAUCUCUCCGGUUAGGAUUUCUCAAUUUCCUCAGCCCUCCUGCUGCUUUCUCUUCCCCUCUCAGUCUUUUGCGUAUUGGUUGAAUAUGACCACAGCUAUUAUCUUGCAAUUUAGGCCUGAAUGAUUAUAUUUUAUGUAAUUAUGACCAAGAAAAACAGAAAAGAGGGCCUUGGGAACUUUUUGACUCGUCUGAAAAUGAGCCCUAUGCUGUAAAUUUUAAGUACCUCUGCAAAUGUCAGCGAGGGAAGUGCCAGCCGGUCCUACACAGGCGUCACUCAUGGACCCCACUCUGUAAUUGCCCUCUAGCUGGAACUGCUGUGUAAUUUUUGACGUGGCUCUGUGGCGGCACUGACAGCCUAAGGGACUGGAGAUUUAAUGCCCAGUCGGAACUUUCUCCCAAGCUUCUGUCUCUCGCAGUGAACCAUUUUUAAUCCUUUCUUGCAGUUCUGUGAGGCUGAUCUCAGGCAGCAUAGGUACCUGAAAAGAGGACAAUAUGGCAUGGAUUAAAAGCAGCUCUAGGGACAGUUGUAGAACAGGAUUCGACUCCGACAGGUACUCCACACACAAGAUGUUGUUAUCGCUGCAAAAGCACUACUAAAAUCUGAUUAAUUCACUGAGAGAUUGUGAGCGAUGUCAUUCAUAUGCACUGAGGAAGGCUGUGUGUCUCCACAUAACAGAUGUCGCUCCAUUUGCUGACACGCUGCAUAUUCAUCCCUGUGCAUUCCUGCAGGUGUGUUUGUGGGCGGUGAUCUCCCCGUGAUGCACCCACUCAGCAUAAAGAGUGGGAGGAGGAGGGAGACCGAGCUUUUAGGGACAAUAGCCCCCAUCUAGAUGCUCUCUGUGGGUGUGGGCAGGAGCAUUUAAAGGCCAUUCAGCCCCUGGCAAGACCCCCACAAAGACGCCCCCGCAUUCUGGGGAUGACUACCUGCCCAGGAGCUCUCUCUCUGCCCAUCUGUCCCCUCUAGAGUCCACAGAGCUCCUGGAGAGGCUGCAGGCUCACACACACACACACACACACACAAACCAAUGGCUGAUUGCUGACUCAGCUCCGCAUCAGGCUGACAGUGCAAAUAGAGCAAGGCAGGGGGUAAGGAGUGUGUGAGCUCCUCUCUGUGUGUGUAGGAGGGUAUGGGCGGAUGCGGUAUAUGUUGGAGAAUGAGUUGGUGUGUUUUUGUUUGUGUGUGUGUGUGGGAGUUGCUAGGUGGGUGAUUGGGCAUUCAUUAGUGUUGAUGGAUGUGUGUGUGUGGGUGUUUGUGUAAGUGGGUGAAUACAUAUGUAGGAGGUAGAGGGUGUGUGUGUGGGUUUGUGUGGAGGAGGAGUUCGUGGGUUUGCUGUGGGUGUUGUGUGGGUGGGUGGAUGGCCACGUGGGUGUAGCAUAAUGUUAUUCCAAUAAAUGAAUAUUUUGUACUUAUUGAUAAAUUUAAAUAUGUAAACAUUUUUUUGUGGUACCGUUUUAAUUUAUUUUUUAUUCACCAUCUUGACUCUUAAGUGAUAUAAAAGCGUGCAGCUUGUACCUGUAUUAAUGAAAGCAUGUCUUAUUAUACAUUAAAUGCUUGAUUUAA